This 425-nucleotide ribosomal RNA is filed under the name uncultured bacterium. Its description in RNAcentral is "partial 16S ribosomal RNA". It matches the Rfam family "Bacterial small subunit ribosomal RNA", at positions 354 to 796 of the family's 1533-position model. The record is from RNAcentral.
GUGGGGAAUCUUGCGCAAUGGGCGAAAGCCUGACGCAGCCAUGCCGCGUGAAUGAUGAAGGUCUUAGGAUUGUAAAAUUCUUUCACCGGGGACGAUAAUGACGGUACCCGGAGAAGAAGCUCCGGCUAACUUCGUGCCAGCAGCCGCGGUAAUACGAAGGGGGCUAGCGUUGCUCGGAAUUACUGGGCGUAAAGGGCGCGUAGGCGGACAGCUUAGUCAGAGGUGAAAGCCCAGGGCUCAACCUUGGAAUUGCCUUUGAUACUGGCUGUCUUGAGUGUGGGAGAGGUGAGUGGAACUCCGAGUGUAGAGGUGAAAUUCGUAGAUAUUCGGAAGAACACCAGUGGCGAAGGCGACUCACUGGCCCAAUACUGACGCUGAGGCGCGAAAGCGUGGGGAGCAAACAGGAUUAGAUACCCUGGUAGUCC